UAUUGCACAAUGGGGGAAACCCUGAUGCAGCGACGCCGCGUGAGCGAAGAAGUAUUUCGGUAUGUAAAGCUCUAUCAGCAGGGAAGAAAAUGGCGGUACCUGACUAAGAAGCCCCGGCUAAAUACGUGCCAGCAGUCGCGGUAAUACGUAUGGGGCAAGCGUUAUCCGGAUUUACUGGGUGUAAAGGGAGCGCAGGCGGCUUGGCAAGUCUGAUGUGAAAGGCUGGGGCUCAACCCCAGGACUGCAUUGGAAACUGUUAGGCUGGAGUGUCGGAGAGGUAAGCGGAAUUCCUAGUGUAGCGGUGAAAUGCGUAGAUAUUAGGAGGAACACCAGUGGCGAAGGCGACUUACUGGACUGUAACUGACGUUGAGGCACGAAAGUGUGGGGAGCA
RNAcentral lists this ribosomal RNA (391 nucleotides) under uncultured bacterium. Its description in RNAcentral is "bacterial SSU rRNA". It matches the Rfam family "Bacterial small subunit ribosomal RNA", at positions 362 to 770 of the family's 1533-position model. The record is from RNAcentral.